GGGGGAUAUUGCACAAUGGAGGAAACUCUGAUGCAGCGACGCCGCGUGAGGGAAGACGGUCCUACGGAUUGUAAACCUCUUUUGUCGGGGAGUAACGUGCGGGACGGGUCCCGUAUUGAGAGUACCCGAAGAAAAAGCAUCGGCUAACUCCGUGCCAGCAGCCGCGGUAAUACGGAGGAUGCGAGCGUUAUCCGGAUUUAUUGGGUUUAAAGGGUGCGCAGGCGGCGCGCCAAGUCAGCGGUCAAAGUUCCGGGCUCAACCCGGUGUCGCCGUUGAAACUGGCGUGCUCGAGUGCGUGCGAGGAAGGCGGAAUGCGUUGUGUAGCGGUGAAAUGCAUAGAUAUGACGCAGAACUCCGAUUGCGAAGGCAGCUUUCCAGCGCGCUACUGACGCUGAGGCACGAAAGCGUGGGGAUCGAACAGGAUUAGAUACCCUGGUAGU
RNAcentral lists this ribosomal RNA (440 nucleotides) under uncultured Porphyromonadaceae bacterium. Its description in RNAcentral is "bacterial SSU rRNA". It matches the Rfam family "Bacterial small subunit ribosomal RNA", at positions 356 to 794 of the family's 1533-position model. Lineage: Bacteria; Pseudomonadati; Bacteroidota; Bacteroidia; Bacteroidales; Porphyromonadaceae. The record is from RNAcentral.